Molecule: long non-coding RNA, 5957 nt
Organism: Zeugodacus cucurbitae (melon fly)
Lineage: Eukaryota; Metazoa; Arthropoda; Insecta; Diptera; Tephritidae
Exons: 2
Source: RefSeq, a predicted model, not a curated record
GGAAUACAGAAGCAGGAGCAUAAAUAAAUGAAAUGUAGUACUUCUUAAGUUGAUACAUUUUAUUUCACUUAGCAUUAUAUGUCUGUUAAAGUUUUUUCUUAAUAAAUAACAGAAUUUCAAAACAACGACAAGGAAAGUUUUUCACUGUCAUUUCUUUUCGACUUUACUUCUGCGUGAUAGUUGCCCUGGGUUUAGAAAACAGUCGUUUACUUGGCACUGAAGUGGCCACAAUGUGUAAAUAUUAAUAAGCCUAUUUAUACAACUCCGGAAACACAGUAUUCAUGUCAACCCAAACUCUAUUGGCUUCUGAUUGGUAGGGAUAACUGCCGAGAUACACACUCUAUUCAACAUUUCGUCCCUGUAAUUGUAGAUAAAUUUAACAGCUUACAUUUCACCUUUUGGUGGACCAAAUGUUUAUUCUGGUUCCAAAUAUCAAACAAGUAUUCUGUUUCACACUCAUCCAAAGAUUUCGUAGGAUCAGUGCGAUUCUUUAAAUCUUUUAUAAAACAAAAAAAAAUGUUUCUUUUAGCCAUAGCAUCUUUAAAAAGCAGUAAUUUGAAUCUCUGAUCUAACGCAGUAGCCUACGCCAGAAUUAAAUUGUAUAAAUAAAUCAUAAAAGUAACCGCAGUAUUGUCCAAGCGCACAUUCCCCUAACGAAUUCUCCGUAUUUUACAAAAAUCGAAUUCCAAUGUAAUAAAGCGUAUCCAAAUAGACGGUUUCGAGUUAAUACCCGAAAAAGUGUGCAGGUGCGAAGUCAAAUUUUUAUAUAAAACAUCGACAUAAAACAUCGUUGAAAGUGACAUCGAUGCAUCGAUGUUUUUAGAUUCGAGACAUCGAUGGCUAACAUCGAUGCUUUUUGACGAAAACAUCGAUGUUUCAAAAACAUCGAUACAUCGUUUGCAUCCCUACUUAUCAUACUCACGAACCCAAAUAUAUCAACAAAUCCUUAUCAGCUGUAAACAUAAAAACAUGUAUCAUGAUAUAUACACAUAGUAAUCUAUUGUAACUAUCAGUAACAGAUAAGAACUUAUCCAAAUAUAUUUAUCAGUUUAAAAUAAGACAACAUGUAUGUUCUGUCGAUAGUAUAAAUAGUUGUGAGCAAACCUAAUGUCUUUUAGUCUUAGUAUUACCACAAACCAAGAAGAUACAUUAUACCAAGAAUGAUAUAAGACAAGAUUACGACUUAGUGACGCGCUCACGACCCCGAAUGGAAAUGGUCAACAGAAUAAUUGUCAAAUGGAAAACGGAAAUGUAAAACAUAGUGAACCAAAUUGAAUAAUGUGCACAUAAAAUAUCACAAUGAACGUGAUUCCUAAAAUCGUCAUCUGUAAAAUGAUCCAAUAUAAUACAUAAUAAUGCAUAUUUAUAAUUAAAAGUAUACGUUUGUCACAAAAAGUUCGUCAUUUUGCCAACUUUUUUGUUGGUUGGAAAAGUGAAAAAAGUCUUUAUAUACGAGUUUUUUUACUAUUGUUGUUUAAUUCCGCUAUUGCGGAUUUCUUUUUCAAGUUAAUACAUUUUUCACUUAGAAUUUUAAAUAUUAAUUAAGCACUAGUCUUGACUUCAACUCAUUGUUUUGGUUUUAUUGGUUUGUACUACCGUGCAAUUUGUUAGUUUUUCUUUCGUUUUUUUUUUGCUCGCGUGUUUGGGGGUCGUGAGUGCGUCACUCAACAGGAAAUUAAAACCCAAAAAAGCUAACUGUAAACGAAUGUCGAAAUCUUGUCUUCUAUCAUUCUUGUAUUAUACUCAAUAAAUAAACUUAAUAAUAAAUACUGUUUAUUAUUUAACUGGAGGCUCAACCGGGAUGGCAAAUCAAUUUGCUUUCCGGCCAGUCUUUGAAAUAUAAGACUUAAAAAUCCCAAAUUCCACGGUCUUGAAGAAAGACAUUGCAAGUCACUGCAGUGCUCGAAGCAAAGGAAGCAUACUUUGUAAACACACCAAGUCCUGAAAAAUAGGAAUACCAACAAAACAGCAAGUCACUGCAGUCCUGAAUAUAAAGAAGGAAACUUUGCAAACAACGCUCGCACCCAACUCAGAGGAAAAACUGGAGCAUAUUAAGAACUUCCGCAAGCAAAAAUUCACGGCAGCCGAAGAAAACCAGAAGCUGUUACGAUGACUUCAGAAAUGGCACAACUUCGCGCCCACAUUGACUUACUGACUCAAACUUUGCAGCAGCAAUGUAUUAAGAAUAGGCAAUCAGCGAUAAUCAAAUGAAUCAUUUAAAGAAGGAAUAAAGGUCCAGACCCAAUGCUGGCUGGCUUUACUUACUUUCGUUGAUGUCACAAUCACUGUUGCCAGACACUUAAUUAUUUGUAUGUACAUCUAAAAGUCAAACAAAACUUGCUAAUAAUUUAAUGUUAAAUGUUCUAUUAUUAUAAACUCUUUGUAAAUUUCUACAUACAUAUAUCAAAUAUUUUAAAUAUUAUACAUUUUAACUAUUUGUACUGGCAAACGCAUAUGUGAUUCAAGCGCUUGAAGCAAAGCUUCAUUUGGUCUCUUUUCAUAUGCUCUAGUAUAGUUCUAUUCAGUUUUGACAGUUCUCACAGCACUUGGAGCACUCCCACGGUUCGAUGGAUGCAAAAAUCAAUAUAGAUCCAGGAGAUCGCAAGUAUGAACCUUUGUGGAUGGCAUAAAAGGAUUCACCAACCAUCCUAGAUACUACACUGUACUUGGUAUAGUACGCACAAAACUAACAGGAGCAGCAGCAGAUAUUCUUACAAACCACAACACGAAGAUGAAUUUGUAUUCCAUAAUAAAUAGACUGGAUUACACGUUUGCAGACCAAAUGCCACUAUACGUCUUUUUAGAGGAAAUGAAAUAGAUCGUACAAAAAGGAAGAUCUUAGCAGAAUUCCACAGUGAAAUGGCAUUAUCAAAAAUUGAGAUUCCCGAAAACCAAAACAGUGCACAGUGGUUCGGCUUGUAUGAAGGCGCGGUCAUAAAUACUUCCCGUUGAGAUAUCGCUAUGAAAUUUCACCAAAAAUCUAGAAAAAUAUUUUAAAUAUAUAUUAAAAAAUUGGCCCCAUCGGACUACUAGGUCCUAUAGCUCCCAUAGAAAAGUAAUUGCCAUUAUAUGGCAAUGAUGCGCAAAAAUAGUUGAAGCGUCAAAACUUUCAGUAAGGCUUUGCAAAAAAAAACUAAGAAAGCGAUACACAAGCUGAACAUGAUUUGUCGUUAUAGUUUCCCCCAUCCAACCCCCACAUUCAACCUAUAAGAAUAAUAUUAUAUAAAACAAGUAAGGAAAGGCUAAGUUCGGGUGCAACCGAACAUUUUAUACUCUCAAUUUAUUGAUAUAUUUUUAUUAAGAUAACACACAAUUUCACCCAAUUUGAAAAUCCUAUAAUUAGGUAUAUGAGAGGUGUUGAAAUUACACUAUUAGAACAAAAAUAUUUCCUCUAAAUUAAAUUAAGAUACCUGAGAGAUUUACCGAAAUUUUUGGUUGAAAAAUUACCAUGGGGCUCUGAAUUCUUCAUUUUCGGUAUUCGGGGCUUUGAAAAGUUAUAGUCCGAUUUCGACAAUUUUUUCACAAGUGAUGCCACAGAUCAUAUACAGUAUUUGUGUAAAGUUUUAUUUCGCUAUCUUCAUUUGUUCCUUAUGUAUAUAUUAUAAAGUGAAGGAAUAAGAUGAAGUUCAAAAUUGAGUUACAUGGGAAGUUGUCGUGGUUGUGAACCGAUUUCAUCAAUUUUCCACACGUGUCAGCAGGGUGCCAAGAAAAUAUUAUAUACCGAAUUUCAUCAAGUAAUUUUUAUACUCUCGCAACCUGUUGCACAGAGUAUUAUAGUUUUGUUCACAUAACGGUUGUUUGUGUCACCAAGAAAUAAAAGAGUAAUAUAUGGGGUUAUAUAUAUAUAAGUGAUCAGGAUGACGAGGGUAUUUGAAAUCCGGAUGUCUGUACGUCCGUCUGUCCGUGCAAGCGAUAACUUGAGUAAAAAUUAAGAUAUUUUAAUGAAACUUGGAACACACAUUCCUUGGUAGGAAUCCCUGAGGAGGUUGCUUUCAAAAAUGGGCGAAAUCGGUCCACUGCCACGCCCACAAAAUGGCGAAAACCGAAAACCUAUACAGUGUCAUAACUAAUAAAGUUGUGAAAAUAAAAUUUGGAACAUAGGAUCGCAUUAGGAAGGGGCACAUUUGGAUGUAAUUUUUUUUAAGUGGGCGUGAUCCCGCCCCCAAAUAGGUUUUUUGUAUAUAACUCGCAAACCAUGACGGACAGACGGACGGACGGACAGACAUCCGGAUUUCAAAUCCACUCGUCAUCCUGAUCAUUUAUGUAUAUAUAACCCCAUAUCCAACUCUUAUAUUUCUUGGUGACACAAACAACCGUUAUGUGAACAAAACUAUUAUACUCUGUUCAACAGGUUGCGAGAGUAUAAAAAACCUAAAAUGUCUCCUUUAGUAAACCGUACACAGAUUGAAAUAACGACGAUGUAUCCUUCUUUCCAAGCUUUUUUAUCCCAAUUAUAACGAGUUUGAACUUAAAACUAGUUAAUUCAAAGGGCAUUAUUAUAUACAAAAUAGAAGACGCAACAAAAAAUGUACAAAAAAAAAAUAGUUGAUAUAAAACACUUAUUUCACUAAAAACACAAAUCACGUUAGUCUUAAUUAAUUUCACAAGUUGAAAUAAAUACCUUUAACUUUAAAAUUUUAAAAUCCAUUAAAAAUAAUAUUGAUUCGUUAACCUGAAAAUUACCAGAACAAAUUGAAGUUCGUUGUUGCUGCGAAAUUAAAAAAAAAAAAAAAAUUUAUGUGCUUUAAAAAAAUAGUUAUUCAUGCAUUUAAUGCUAUUUUUAGAAAGUACUGUUAGACUUUUAGGAAAACCCGGUUAGCAAAUAGGAAGUUUGGACAAUUUCGAAGACAUCUGUAUACAUUUUGACAAAAAAUCGUGAGAUGGAUUUUUUGAUUUUUGGCCGAUGGCGGAACCACAUUGCAGUGGUUCUAUGAAAGACUAUGCGAAUCAGGAAGCAGUAAGGACCUUCAUCCUAGGGUUAAAUAGCAAAUAUAGAAGUGGGACAAUGUAUAGUCAUAAUCCUAAGGAUUUGGAAACAGCUUACGCAGUAGGUAGUACUAUUUACCGUGACAAUGGGAAUCAACAGUUUGAGAUACAAGCUACACCAUCGAUAUCCGACCACAAUCAGUGGUAUCAAUUCAUGGAAAAAGUCGCAGAUCAUCAUGAUAGAGAAACCAGGUAAAGACUUGACACAGCCGUCUUUAUACAGACCAAUCAGUCUUCUACCCUGUCUUUCUAAAAUAUUUGAAAAGUGUUACUAUCAAAGAUGUCUCCUUUCCUCCAUGAAAAUAAUGUAAUACCAACGCACCAAUUCGGGUUUCGUGCAAAACAUGGCACUGUAGAACAAAUGUGGCUCAGGCGUUCAAUAAAGUGUGGCAUGACGGGCUUUUAUAUAAGGUUAAAAAAAGCUUACCUCUCGAAAUGCAUAAAACCUUGGAUUCUUAUUUAAAAAAUAGAAAGUUUACUGUCAAAGUAGGAGACUUCAUAUCUGAAGAACGACCAAUAAGAGCUGGUGUACCUGAGGGCAGUGUUUUAGGGCCAACUCUAUACAUAAUAUAUACAGCAGACCUUCCAACAGCUGGCAACAUUUUGACAUCAACUUUUGCGGAUGACACAGCUUUAGUGAGCAGAAACAAAUGCCCAGUUAUAGCAUCAAAAGUAUAAGGAGGGCAUUUGAUUUUUGUCGAAGAAUUGCUAGCAAACUGGCGUAUAAAUGUAAAUGAACAGAAGUGCAAGCAUGUUACAUUUUCUCUAAGACCAAAAACGUGCCCGGCAGUUAAAAUGAACAAUAUUUUAUUACCCCAAGCGACUGAAGUAACAUAUCUUGGUAUUCACUUGGAUAGAAGGCUCACGUGGAGAAAACACAUAUCGAGCAAAAUAACCUGCACGAAGAUAAGAGCAGCACAUUUAAAUUGGCUUUUAAAUAAAAAUUCAAAACUUAGCCUAGACAACAAAGU